RNAcentral lists this non-coding RNA (24 nucleotides) under Mus musculus (house mouse). The record is from RNAcentral. Lineage: Eukaryota; Metazoa; Chordata; Mammalia; Rodentia; Muridae.
UAGGAAAUCAGAUGCCCGGGGCCA